GUGCAACUCUCUAAUAUGCUGCUGCUAUUGGAAUCGAAGAUCUUGACCUCCCCUGAGUGGCUGCCGACAGCAAUUCUCGAGUCCCCCAGGAAAGUAAGACAGGUCAAAAGAGCACUAGCAUCAUCCCGACAAGUUCGCCAAGGCUUAAACCUGCUGUAGACAAACUGGCGAUCCCUACGAUUUCCAUGAACACCACCAUAU
This 201-nucleotide unclassified non-coding RNA is filed under the name Hevea brasiliensis (rubber tree). The record is from RNAcentral. Lineage: Eukaryota; Viridiplantae; Streptophyta; Magnoliopsida; Malpighiales; Euphorbiaceae.